GUAUGAUUAUAUGCAGCUCAACAAUGCGUGCCCUUGGCAAAAUCAGUUUAAUUGUAAGAAAAUAAACAAACACGCUCGAUUUCGCAGUGAAGUAGCGCUACAGGAAUGUGUCAUGAUAGGUGUCCUAUGAUGCAGCUUUCUGGUCCAUGAAAGAUCUUACUACGUUAUGUCAACAGUUAAAUGGGAUCUGCUGAUAAAGGGUACUA
Molecule: non-coding RNA, 206 nt
Organism: Pelobates cultripes (western spadefoot toad)
Lineage: Eukaryota; Metazoa; Chordata; Amphibia; Anura; Pelobatidae
Source: the annotation of a GenBank genome assembly